CAGCCGUAAACGAUGCGCGUUAGGUGUAUCGAUGACCACGAGUCAUCGAGGUGCCGAAGGGAAACCCGUGAAACGCGCCGCCUGGGAAGUACGGUCGCAAGGCUGAAACUUAAAGGAAUUGGCGGGGGGAGCACCACAACCAGGUGGAGCCUGCGGUUUAAUCGGACUCAACGCCGGAAAUCUCACCGGAUAAGACAGCUGAAUGAUAGCCGGGCUGAAGACUCUGCUUGACUAGCUGAGAGGUGGUGCAUGGCGUAGACGUCU
This 264-nucleotide ribosomal RNA is filed under the name uncultured archaeon. RNAcentral describes it as "partial 16S ribosomal RNA". It matches the Rfam family "Archaeal small subunit ribosomal RNA", at positions 748 to 1009 of the family's 1478-position model. The record is from RNAcentral.